CAAUGGGCCAUGUAUGCUAGCUUGAAACGAAAAUGAAACCCAGUCGCAACCUCCUCCUGGGCCUGUGCUCCAUGCUGGCUCUAGGAUUCCUAUACUACUCAUCGGGGAGGAUCAGCUUACAAGGCUGGGUCAACAAAUCAUGCCUUUGGAGCUGAUCUAUAAGUACAGCAAUCUCAGUGAGGGAGCCUGUAAGCCUGGAUUUGCAGCUGCAAAGAUGACUGCCAUAUAUCCAAGCUUCAACAAACUGGCGCCUAUGUUCCUUGAUCCAAAUUACAAAAGAUUUUCCAAGAUUGGUGAUUACCCGCCUCCAUUUGGGAUAAAAUCACGAGAGAAGAGCAUAGAUAUUCUCCUUUCAGCUACUAAGAGCUAUGGCCUUGGAGAAGAACUUGACAGCAUUAGCUGUAAGACGUGUGUCAUUGUAGGAAACGGAGGAAUUCUCACCAAUAAGUCUCUGGGGCAGAGGAUUGAUCAGUUCGAUGUAGUUGUCAGGUUAAAUGAGGCCCCAGUUAAAGGGUUUGAAAAAGAUAUUGGCUCCAAGACCACGAUGAGGAUCACCUAUCCAGAGGGGGCGAUCCAGAAGACAGAGCGCUACGAGGCUCAAUCUCUGUUUGUCCUCUCAGCCUUUAAAGCUCUGGACCUCAAAUGGCUUCGACACAUGGUCUUUAACCAGAGGCUGCGCAGCACUGAUGGCUUCUGGAAGUCGGUGGCCAGACACGUGCCAAGGGAGCCCAGCGACAUGCGCAUCCUGAACCCCUACUUCAUCCAAGAGGCCUCCUUCAAGCUUAUUGGAUUACCUUACAACAAUGGACAGAUGGGUAGAGGGAAUAUUCCAACCCUGGGGUCAGUUGCCAUAACAAUGGCACUUCAUAACUGCGAUGAAGUAGCCGUGGCUGGAUUUGGCUACAACAUGAAGACUCCCCAUGCCCCUUUGCACUACUAUGAGAAGAUUAGGAUGUCAGCCAUCAAAGAGUCCUGGACUCACAACAUAUCUAAAGAGAAAGAGUUCCUGGUGAAGCUGGUGAAGGCUGGGGUCAUCCAGGACUGGACCAGUGGGAUCUGUGGUGCAGGAUGCUGAUAGACUGCAUUUCCCCACCAAAAUGUGCUCCAACAUCUGAAGAGGGAAGCUCAAGGCGCCACAUUCACAUAAAAGUGGAUUCCAUGUCCUGGCUUAAGGAUUAAAAAGGGAGAACCACUGUGACUGUGACCCAAUGACGAAUGUUUCUACCAAGACACAUUCUUAUGGAGCACUGCCCAACUGAGGUCAUCCGUGGAUUGAAUGGUAUAUGUGAAAGAUUUGAGUCUCACCUCAUAAAUAUGCCAUCUUUUUGCAACUUGUUUGUCAUUGUGAUGGUGACUAUCAUUUCCAUCAAUCAUAAUAGACAUAGCACCCAACCAAUUAGAUGAUUGACACAUCUGAAUAAAAAAAUACUAACGACGAAAAUGUAAAUAGCAGAUACACUGAAUUCUAAUCAAUCAGUCCAUUUUCAUUUGUAUAGCUCAUAUUCACUAAUCACAGUUUGGUCUCAUGGGCUUUAACAAGGUGUGACCUCGUCUGCCCUUAACCCCCAACAAGUCAGGAAAAACUACUAAAAAACUAUUAACAGGGUAAAAAACUGAAGAAACUUCAGAGGGCCACAUGUGAGGGAUCCCUCUCCCAACAAUAUACUCCACUUGUAGCAGAGCAGGUCAACAGAAUAACAAUAUUUAUAACAUUGAUAAGAAAAGACGAUGUCUAACAUAAAUGAAGAGGUGUAUCAAUGUUUAAAGUUUUUGUUCAUAAUAGAAUGUCUGAUUGUAAUUUGUGAAUAUGGGCUAUACAAAUAAAAUUUGAUUGAUUGAUAGAAAUGAAUGGAGCAGUAAUAGCAGUUUGUAAUGACAGGAUUUGAAUUAAUGGUAGAAUAUUUAAGGUUAUAUUUAAUAUCUAAACAAUCAAGUCCUGGCUGAUCGUAAUAAUAAUGGCUGAUCCCUUAUUGUGUUGGCAUCUUAUAAUGGUGGUGGACCCCCAACAAUUACUGUACACACUGUAGUAAUAUCCAGCUUUAACAGUAACAUUGGUAUCAGUGAGUAACUGCCAGAAAAUGUUGUCAGAGGGGGAACAUUCAAACUCAGAGUAAGGAAGGUCCCUCUGUACACUAGAAAACUACUGCAGCUUCCACAACACUGCUUAUUUUCGUUGAAUAUAUAUGUUGUAACUUGAUCCAACAUGCAACUUUAAUGGUUGAGCUGCUCUUGGUACAGGCGGUACUGUUUGUGACUUUAUACAGUAGCUCAAGAGUGCUGAAAGAAAACUAAAGUUUUCACUGAUGUCAGUCAAUUUGCACCGACUGGGAGAGAACCUUACUCUAUAUUUCAAUGGUGCACUUGACUGCCUGCGUAAAGAUAACUGCAGAUGUGAUUAAUAUCCCUUCUAUGCCUGUGAAUCGUGCAGUGGUGAAGGACAGAGAAUCUGUAAGGGACCUGGAUGAAAAUUAAAAAGGGGUCAUGGUUCAUUCCUGCUGUCGAGAGUCAGUCACCCGAUCCUCUCAGGUAUCCCUCUAUUGGGACACUGAUCCAACAAAGAAAUGUGGAUACCUGUUAAGGCACAGACAUAACAGUGGCCUAGCUAGCACUAAACAACAUACAAAGCAUAUAGAAAAUAAUUAUGGAGGCAUAAAUUAGAUGGUCAAAAAGAGAAGGUCAGAUUGAGUUACAUACCAUAAUAAGUUAUAUAAAUUUGAAGUAUAUUAAAAUAGUGAUGUGUUUCAAGUUAAACGGAUAUUAGCUUAUUUCAUACAGCUGCUAGCAAGCCAGUGAGGUUUGUUCUAAAGAAAAUAUCACACAAUUGUCCAAAUGUGAAAAGCUGCACAUUUUUCAGAAGCAUAUGUAGAGGUCAUCCUCAGAAAUAUUUCCACAAACCUCAAUCAGAGCCUCACACAACACCAACAACACAAAGAAUGUUCUAAUCAGGAAGCAUCAAAUUAUGCUCACAAGGUGAAAGGAGGGCUAGGUUUGAAGGAAUAAACAGUGGUUCCAAGCCUUACUUAAAAUGACAAGGGGUUGGAGGAAACAAACAAGUCACUAUGCACCAGUGAAUCAGUUUACAGGUUAUGGCAGGUUGUAAAUAUCUUUCUUAGAUGUGUGCCAUGUAGCAUGACUAACAGAGAUGUAAAUGUCAAAGUGUGAGUCAAGCAUUUAUAUAGAACGACGUAAACGUAUCCUGUAAGAGUUGAACACAUAAUCAACACACAAACAAUGUCUUGUUACAGCCUUCAUCCUGGUCAAGCACUGCAGCAGGAAACAUAUUUAGAAUGUAGAGAUCAUAUAAAGCUUUGCAUAUGGACAGAAGAAGCAGAUGGCCACUAUUAAAAGAGGAGCCUUGACCUGACAUGUUCUCACACUGUGUGUUUGGGCAGGUGGAGGGGGUCACAGGGUGAUGCACGCAAACAGAAGCUCCUUACUACUAUGUAGGUGGUCUAGGGGUGACAGUAUGAGCUUGGCGAGGACACAGGGACAACGUCUACAUACCGGCUACCAUGCACAACCCGGCUUCGGCUACAGACAAGGUUUCCAUCCUGUUCACUUCCUUUUCAUGUGUGGAACCUGAUCCCAACCAAUCAGCCCACACCAUAAUUUUGGUUUAAUUAAUCCUGACUGGAGGCGGGCUGAGGUCUGCUCUGCAGUGGAGUGUGGCUGUGCAGGCUCAGGUUGCAUAGUCCUUUAUUCCCACUGACAGUUGAUGUGGGGGCUUCUUCAGAUGCAAUCCAUGCAUCUCUCUCAACGUCACAAAGUUCAUGUCCGAAAAAUAUCUUCAAUAUCUAAUGUCACACAGAGCUAAAAAACCAAGGAAUAUUUGCUACUGACCUGAAAAUAAAUUCUAAACCUUACUAUGUAAAGUUUGUUGAAAUAAUGUAUGUUACAUUCGGUAUUAUACAAAUAAAAUUUAAUUGAAUGUA
Platichthys flesus (European flounder) is the source of this 3932-nucleotide RNA transcript. It is a transcript of the gene named ST3 beta-galactoside alpha-2,3-sialyltransferase 3a, with no coding region annotated. The record is from RefSeq and is a predicted model, not a curated record. The transcript is spliced from 10 exons. NCBI's taxonomy places the organism in Eukaryota, Metazoa, Chordata, Actinopteri, Pleuronectiformes, Pleuronectidae.